Molecule: ribosomal RNA, 433 nt
Filed under: uncultured bacterium
Lineage: Bacteria
Description: partial 16S ribosomal RNA
Rfam family: Bacterial small subunit ribosomal RNA
Source: RNAcentral
AACGAACGCUGGCGGCAUGCCUAACACAUGCAAGUCGAACGAGACCUUCGGGUCUAGUGGCGCACGGGUGCGUAACGCGUGGGAACCUGCCCUUAGGUUCGGAUUAACUCCCCGAAAGGGGUGCUAAUACCGGAUAAUGUCUUCGGACCAAAGAUUUAUCGCCUUUGGAUGGGCCCGCGUUGGAUUAGCUAGUUGGUAGGGUAAAAGCCUACCAAGGCGACGAUCCAUAGCUGGUCUGAGAGGAUGAUCAGCCACACUGGGACUGAGACACGGCCCAGACUCCUACGGGAGGCAGCAGUGGGGAAUAUUGGACAAUGGGCGAAAGCCUGAUCCAGCAAUGCCGCGUGAGUGAUGAAGGCGUUAGGGUUGUAAAGCUCUUUUACCCGGGAUGAUAAUGACGGUACCGGGAGAAUAAGCGCCGGCUAACUACGUG